Molecule: ribosomal RNA, 484 nt
Filed under: uncultured bacterium
Lineage: Bacteria
Description: partial 16S ribosomal RNA
Rfam family: Bacterial small subunit ribosomal RNA
Source: RNAcentral
AUUGAACGCUGGCGGCAGGCCUAACACAUGCAAGUCGAGCGGACAAAGGGAGCUUUCUCUUGGAUUCAGCUGCGGACGGGUGAGUAAUGCCUAGGAAUCUGCCUGGUUGUGGGGGAUAACAUCCGGAAACGAGCGCUAAUAUCGCAUACGACCAGAGGGUGAAAGUGGGGGUUCCUUGGUCCUCACGCGAUCAGAUGACCCUAGGCCGGAUUAGCUAGUUGGUGGGGUAAAGGCCUACCAAGGCGACGAUCCGUAACUGGUCUGAGAGGAUGAUCAGUCACACUGGAACUGAGACACGGUCCAGACUCCUACGGGAGGCAGCAGUGGGGAAUAUUGGACAAUGGGCGAAAGCCUGAUCCAGCAAUGCCGCGUGUGUGAGGAAGGUCUUCGGAUUGUAAAGCACUUUGAGUUGGGAGGAAGGGAAGUAAAUUAAAACCUUGCUGUUUUGACGUUACCUACAGAGUAAGCACCGGCUAACUUCGUG